RNAcentral lists this ribosomal RNA (255 nucleotides) under uncultured bacterium. Its description in RNAcentral is "partial 16S ribosomal RNA". It matches the Rfam family "Bacterial small subunit ribosomal RNA", at positions 524 to 776 of the family's 1533-position model. The record is from RNAcentral.
UACGUAGGGUGCAAGCGUUGUCCGGAAUUAUUGGGCGUAAAGAGCUCGUAGGCGGUCUGUCGCGUCGGAUGUGAAAACCCAGGGCUCAACCCUGGGCCUGCAUUCGAUACGGGCAGACUAGAGUUCGGUAGGGGGAGACUGGAAUUCCCGGUGUAGCGGUGAAAUGCGCAGAUAUCGGGAGGAACACCUAUGGCGAAGGCAGCUCGCUGGGACGUACUGACGCUGAGACGCGAAAAGCGUGGGGGAGCAAACAGG